Potamilus streckersoni is the source of this 72-nucleotide non-coding RNA. The record is from the annotation of a GenBank genome assembly. NCBI's taxonomy places the organism in Eukaryota, Metazoa, Mollusca, Bivalvia, Unionida, Unionidae.
UCUCGUGGUCUAGUGGUUAGAGCGCCCGCCUCUGAUGCGGAAGGUCGCGGAUUCAAACCCCGACCGAGUCAU